UGGGGAAUAUUGCACAAUGGGCGCAAGCCUGAUGCAGCCAUGCCGCGUGUGUGAAGAAGGCCUUCGGGUUGUAAAGCACUUUCAGCGAGGAGGAAGGUGGUGAGCUUAAUACGCUCAUCAAUUGACGUUACUCGCAGAAGAAGCACCGGCUAACUCCGUGCCAGCAGCCGCGGUAAUACGGAGGGUGCAAGCGUUAAUCGGAAUUACUGGGCGUAAAGCGCACGCAGGCGGUUUGUUAAGUCAGAUGUGAAAUCCCCGGGCUCAACCUGGGAACUGCAUUUGAAACUGGCAAGCUAGAGUCUCGUAGAGGGGGGUAGAAAUUCCAGGUGUAGCGGUGAAAUGCGUAGAGAUCUGGAGGAAUACCGGUGGCGAAGGCGGCCCCCCUGGACGAAGACUGACGCUCAGGUGCGAAAAGCGUGGGGCAGCAAACAGGAUUAGAUA
RNAcentral lists this ribosomal RNA (441 nucleotides) under uncultured bacterium. RNAcentral describes it as "partial 16S ribosomal RNA". It matches the Rfam family "Bacterial small subunit ribosomal RNA", at positions 355 to 784 of the family's 1533-position model. The record is from RNAcentral.